Molecule: ribosomal RNA, 2029 nt
Filed under: Salvelinus alpinus (Arctic char)
Lineage: Eukaryota; Metazoa; Chordata; Actinopteri; Salmoniformes; Salmonidae
Description: eukaryotic LSU rRNA
Rfam family: Eukaryotic large subunit ribosomal RNA (bases 828-2029)
Source: RNAcentral
AGCUGAACCGGUGAAACACAUACCCUCCUUGGGGUAGCUCUUAUAUUAAUAUUUGAGCUUUAGUCUUUAUGUUAAGAACUGACUUUUUAACAGAGGUUAAAUGAGUGUGUUACUCAUAACAAUUCUCUACAUAAAUCACAGAUAUUCUCGCAGUAGUUCGAGACCCACUUUAAAAUGUUGUAACUCUACUUCCCUCGCCUGCCAAGUGAACAACUGCAACUGCAUCUGUGAAUUUUUUUUGGAAAAAAAAAAUUCCUCUUCGUGAACAUCUACCAAAUGGUUCAAUGUACUAUUCUCUUUAAAUUACGAUAGCAUAAAACGCAUUUUUUUUUUUUCCUGACACCGUUAUGCUUAUGUACUUUGACGUGCGAAGCGGUCAAAUUGCACCUACUUUUCGUUUUUGACCUUUUCCCAGCAAAAUGCCAUAACUCAAAAAAGCGCCGCAAGCCUCGACGCCAUCUUGUUCGGGCCAACUUCCCUUUACUCCAAACCUACGCUUCGCCGAGUUCGUCUUUGAAAUAUUUUCCGUUUUAGGAGAAAAGCCGCGCUCGUUUGCCCCUGUGUUCUGCGCUGCCUAAUGAUGAGUUUAUUUCCGCCUUGUGCGGGAAUAUUUCGAGAAUGCCGGAGUGCAAGUCAAAAAUUUGUUAUUUUAUAAAAAACGGCGACCGAAAGUCCGAAAACGAUUCUGACAGACUGCCGAAAGAGCUCCCCCGCGCCCUCGGCCGACGCCGUCCGCGAUUUUCACACGACAAAGGCGACGUCAGGUAAGGGACCGUACAUCUUGCCAAUGGGAGAAUCUUCAUCCAUCAUACGGCUUCCCGUACCCAGAUGCUUUAAGGUAUUGUAAGAAGUCGGGAAGUCAGAUCCCGUAACUUCCGGAUAAGGAUUGCUCAUAAGGGCUGGUCGGGCGCGGCCUGGGGUGCGAAGCGUGGCUGGGCUCGAGCCGCGGCGGGCGGGAGCAGUUGCUCCGCCGCCCUCUUCUCGCCACCGUUGCGAAGUUUUGUCUGUGGCCACAUGCGGGGCUCUCAUUGGCGGUCUCGCAAGGGCCGUUUGUGGGGUUUCUUUCGUGGUGGUGUCCUGCGGCAGGCUAAGGCGGACCGGCGAGGGGUUGGGUUUGCGAGGUUGCAGCGGCGACUCUGGGACGCGUUGCGGGCCCCUUCUCUUCGGAUCCCCAGCUACGCGUGCUCUCGGCCCCGUUUAUCGCGGGGUCUCCGGCGGGUUGCCCUCGGCCGGCGCCUAGCAGCUGACUUAGAACGGUGCGGCCAGGAGGAAAUACCGACUUGUUUAAUUAAAACAAAAGCACUCGCGAAGGCAAGGUGGGUGUUGACGCGAUGUGAUUUCUGCCCAGUGCUACUGAAUGUCAAGUGAACGAAAUUUCAAGGAAGCGCGGUAAAACGGCCGCGCGAGUAACUAUGACUCUCUUUAAGGUAGCCAAAUGCUCUCGUCAUCUAAUUAGUGACCGCGCAUGAAUGGAUUUGAACAGAAUUCCCACUGUCCCUACCUACUAUCUACGCAAACAAUCAGCCAAGGGAACGGCCUUGGCAGACAUCAGCGGGGAAAGAAGACCCUGUGUGCUUGACUCUAGUCUAGGCACUGUGAAGAAGCACAUGAGAGGUGUUAGAAUAAGUGGAGCCCUCGGGCCGCCGGUGAAAUACCACUUACUCUUAUCGUUUUUCACUUACCCGUGAGGCGGGGAGGCGAGCCCCGACGGCUUCUCGCUUCUGGCUAUCAUAAGCCACCCGGCUCGCGGUCGGGUGCGACCCGCUCCGGGGAACAGUGUGGCAGGUGGGGAGUUUGACUGGGGCGGUACACCUGUCAAGCGUUAACGCAGGGUGCCUAAGGCGAGCUCAGGAGGACAGAACCUCCCGUGGAGCGAAGGGCAAAAGCCGCUUGAUCUUGAUUUUCAGUAUUGAAUACAGACCCGUGAAAGCGCUGGCCUCACGAUCCUCUGAGUCUUUUUGGGUUAAGGCAGGUGUUCAAAAAACCACUAGGAUAACUGGCUGCUCGAUCCAGAGUCAGCAUUUCAGAU